Molecule: ribosomal RNA, 436 nt
Filed under: uncultured bacterium
Lineage: Bacteria
Description: partial 16S ribosomal RNA
Rfam family: Bacterial small subunit ribosomal RNA
Source: RNAcentral
GAGCGAACGCUGGCGGCAGGCUUAACCCAUGCAAGUCGAACGGGCUUCUUCGGAAGUCAGUGGCAGACGGGUGAGUAACACGUGGGAACGUGCCCUUCGGUUCGGAAUAACUCAGGGAAACUUGAGCUAAUACCGGAUACGCCCUUUUGGGGAAAGGUUUACUGCCGAAGGAUCGGCCCGCGUCUGAUUAGCUUGUUGGUGGGGUAACGGCCUACCAAGGCGACGAUCAGUAGCUGGUCUGAGAGGAUGAUCAGCCACACUGGGACUGAGACACGGCCCAGACUCCUACGGGAGGCAGCAGUGGGGAAUAUUGGACAAUGGGCGCAAGCCUGAUCCAGCCAUGCCGCGUGAGUGAUGAAGGCCUUAGGGUUGUAAAGCUCUUUUGUCCGGGACGAUAAUGACGGUACCGGAAGAAUAAGCCCCGGCUAACUUCGUG